UUCCGGGUGAUCCCGCCGGACCCGACUGCUAUCGGAUUGAGAUUUAGCCAUGCGAGUCGAACGUCCCCCUGUUGCGGGGGGCGUGGCGUACGGCUCAGUAACACGUAGUCAACCUGCCCUGGAGACAAGGACAACCCCGGGAAACUGGGAUUAAUCCUUGAUAGGUCAUCUCAUCUGGAAGGAGAGAUGGCUUAAAGGGGUACGCGGGCUUCUUCCGCGAAUUCGCUCCAGGAUGGGACUGCGUCCGAUCAGGCUGUUGGCGGGGUAAUGGCCCACCAAACCUGUAACCGGUACGGGCCUUGAGAGAGGUGGCCCGGAGAUGGACACUGAGAGAAGGGUCCAGGUCCUACGGGGCGCAGCAGGCGCGAAACCUUCGCAAUGCGCGAAAGCGUGACGAGGUUAAUCCGAGUGAUUUCCGCUGCGGAGAUCUUUUGUCAGCUGUAAAUAGGCAGGCGAAUAAGGGGAGGGCAAGCCUGGUGUCAGCCGCCGCGGUAAUACCAGCUCCUCGAGUGGUCGGGGCGAUUAUUGGGCCUAAAGCAUCCGUAGCCGGUUCCGUAGGUCCUCUGUUAAAUCCAACCGCUUAACGGUUGACCUGCAGAGGAUACCGCGGGACUAGGAGGCGGGAGAGGCGGACGGUAUUCCGCGUGUAGGGGUAAAAUCCUUUGAUCCGCGGAGGACCACCAGUGGCGAAGGCGGUCCGCCAGAACGCGCUCGACGGUGAGGGAUGAAAGCUGGGGGAGCGAACCGGAUUAGAUACCCGGGUAGUCCCAGCCGUAAACGAUGCUAGCUAGAUGAUUCAUUCGCAAGUCGCGAAUGAAGUGUCGCAGGGAAGCCGUUAAGCUAGCCGCCUGGGGAGUACGGUCGCAAGACUGAAACUUAAAGGAAUUGGCGGGGGAGCA
Molecule: ribosomal RNA, 899 nt
Filed under: uncultured archaeon
Lineage: Archaea
Description: bacterial SSU rRNA
Rfam family: Archaeal small subunit ribosomal RNA
Source: RNAcentral